RNAcentral lists this long non-coding RNA (874 nucleotides) under Equus asinus (donkey). RNAcentral's name for it is "lncRNA (ENSEASG00005036676.1)". The record is from RNAcentral. Lineage: Eukaryota; Metazoa; Chordata; Mammalia; Perissodactyla; Equidae.
CCUUCCCCCAAGCAAAUGAUACUUUCUGUCCCUGCUUGACUUUUCCUAGAGUAGUUGAAGCCAACAGAGAAUUGUUUGAAAACAGCAGUGGGGCUAGGUUUGACUGGCCUUUGAGUGUAUUUUUAUGGUAGUGGAAGGUUAUUCGUGCUCCAAACCGGCAAGAGAGGCCUGUCUCCCCUGAGGACCACAGACUACUGCAGAGUGGGAGCCCCCCUUCUUUGGCUGGGAGUCCCCCUUACGCCGCAACGAGAGGGACCCCCAGGGAGUGGACCUUCCUGACCCUUGCUGAUGGCCGCCUCCAGAGGAGGGAUGCAAAACCCAGCCUGGCUCCCCUGAGAACCGAGUUCUGCCAGACACCAACGCUCACGCCUUCCUUCCAUCGCCUGGUGAAGAAACUCUGGUUUUUAUCUUAGAGCAAUGGAGUCGGAACCGGGAUGUGGCUGCCCAGAAAGUCUCUGUGCCCCGCCCACCUUGUUGCUUCCAUUUUGAGGUCUGAAGACGUUUGGGAUGCCUGCUCCACACUCUCCUCCCCUGCCAUUUGGCUGCUACCCAGAGGAGGAGAAUGAGGAGGGAAAAAAAGAAAAAGAAAAGAACGAAUCCUUGUUAAAUGAAGUAAGAGCUGGAAGAGGAGAGAAAUGGAUCCUGUUCGAUGAGGCGGGAGCUGGAGAGGAGUGAAUUACUCUGCUGAGCAGACAGAGAAGAGUUUCAAGUUUUCGCAGCAGCUCAGGAGGAAAGGGAGAGAAGGACGCGAGGAUGCAGAUGAGUGGGGAAGAGGAAUCAGCAGAAAUUCUCCAGGGCGGGAAGAUGGAGGGGCGGGAGGAGGGCAUCUGGAAGGAUCUUCUCUGUUCCAAUCAGCACUUCCAUCUUGAGUAAA